Zophobas morio is the source of this 365-nucleotide long non-coding RNA. RefSeq lists it as uncharacterized. The transcript is spliced from 3 exons. Lineage: Eukaryota; Metazoa; Arthropoda; Insecta; Coleoptera; Tenebrionidae. The record is from RefSeq and is a predicted model, not a curated record.
UAUAUACGCGUGGGGAAUCAAACCAGAAACUACAUCCCGUCUACGAGAAUUCGUAGAGGCAGUUGCUCCCUUUUAUGUGUAUCUCGAAACUAGGGUCUCCAGAGGUCGAUUUGUCAAAAGUAGCCCCGAUCAUUUUUCACAUUAUGUGAUUAAAAACUGGCCUCCACUUGCACAAUUGUUAUCAGGAAAAAAAAAUUAAAUCCAUCCUCUAAUGGACACGAACAAAGUUUUCUUGCUUCCAUUACAUAUUAAAUCGUAUUUGAUGAAGGAUUUGUAAAAUCACUUCCAAAAGAGGGUGAUUUUUACCUUAAUUUUAAGGUAAAAUAAUUUUCACUUCAAAAUUAAGUAUGCCUAGGAUAAACAUU